GGAGACGUGGCCGAGUGGUCGAAGGCACACCCCUGCUAAGGGUGCAGGCCCGGAAGGGUCUCGAGGGUUCGAAUCCCUUCGUCUCCGCCA
Molecule: transfer RNA, 90 nt
Filed under: Paracoccus pantotrophus
Lineage: Bacteria; Pseudomonadati; Pseudomonadota; Alphaproteobacteria; Rhodobacterales; Paracoccaceae
Also listed under: 14 other names
Description: tRNA-Ser
Rfam family: tRNA
About the family: Transfer RNA (tRNA) molecules are approximately 80 nucleotides in length.
Source: RNAcentral